This 1092-nucleotide long non-coding RNA is filed under the name Nicotiana tabacum (common tobacco). Its description in RNAcentral is "long non-coding RNA (NTAB_LNC004684)". The record is from RNAcentral. Lineage: Eukaryota; Viridiplantae; Streptophyta; Magnoliopsida; Solanales; Solanaceae.
AGUGCUUCAUUGUCUUCAUCUUCAGCAUCAAUCUUGUACCCACGUUGAAAUUGCCUUGCUAAGAUAUUUUAAUCACUGGCAUACGGCUUACUUUUGAUUGAUUAUGAGAAAACAAGUACUGCUAGAAUAGAUGUGGUACUGGAUGUUUACAAAAAGUUAUGAGCUUCAACUCUCUCACCUUUUUAAUGGCUUCAAAUGUUCACAGGAGAAACAGAAACUAGAGAACAUACUAAGAUAAAUGAAUCUAGAGAAAACUUCUUCAAAAGGGAUAAAGUUUACAAAGUGCACCAGUUUAAGUUUCAGGUUGCUCCGUGAUUCUUUUAGCGCGUAAAAAGUUUCUUCCUGUCUAACUGGUAAUGCAUGUUGAUCUUAACUUGCAUUAAGAAUUUCUAUCUUGCAUAUUUAGCUUGUUUUGAUGAGCCUAAUCUUGCCUUCAUAUACAGUUAAUUUUCAUCUUGCACUCUUUCCUAGGGUUAAAAAUUCCAACCUGUUAGAGCUCAGCUGCUUCAUCUCUUGACAUGUGUUCCAUCGCUUUGAUAUCUACCAAAACAGGACCAGCCCCUUCACAGUGUCUGUUGUUGAAAUGCUUAAUAAUUCUUGUCUCUUCUUACUCGGAAUUCUUUUCCACAUAAAUGUAUAGGUUUUUGCAUGCAACGGAAGCACAAAUGUAUAUUUCGGAAGAGCAAGAGGUUAUUUUUUUCUUAAUUUUACUGGCGGCGCAUUUGUGCUGGUGGUAGAGCAAGAUAAGGAACAAGCGGGAACAACACAGGUCCUCUAAAGACACCGCUCAUAAGAAAACAUAAUAUGGUGGAAAAGUUGCAGUUUUUGCAUACAUCAAAAUUCACGUUUAAAGAGGAAGUCAAGAAUAUAUUCUCAGACCACACAGCUCGAAAUGGUGGGUGGUUUCACUUGUAUUCUGCUCUCAGCAGCAGAUUAGCAUUUGGUGAAUCCUUCGAUACUUUUAGCAUAGAAACCUAGAGCCACCACUCCUGGUAACGAGGUCCUAAUAUAUGAGUAAAUCUAAUAAAUCCUACUAUUUGGGUUUGUGUAUUCAAUGAUGUACUAAUACUAAUGCACUAAAUUUGAUUUAAU